CCCUUCGAUGUUCUGGGCCGCACGCGCGCUACACUGAUGCAUUCAACGAGUCUAAAACCUGGUCUGAGAGGGCUGGGUAAUCUUUUGAAAGUGCAUCGUGAUUGGGAUAGAUGAUUGCAAUUCUUCAUCUUCAACGAGGAAUGCCUAGUAAACGCAAGUCAUCAGCUUGCAUUGAUUACGUCCCUGCCCUUUGUACACACCGCCCGUCGCUCCUACCGAUUGAACGAUCCGAUGAAAACUGUGGAUUGAGAGUCUGAGUGGGUUCGCCUACCUCAACUUUCGAGAAGCGGUUUAAAUCUUAUCGUUUAGAGGAAGGAGAAGUCGUAACA
RNAcentral lists this ribosomal RNA (329 nucleotides) under uncultured eukaryote. RNAcentral's name for it is "partial 18S ribosomal RNA". It matches the Rfam family "Eukaryotic small subunit ribosomal RNA", at positions 1470 to 1796 of the family's 1831-position model. The record is from RNAcentral.